Molecule: long non-coding RNA, 294 nt
Filed under: Helianthus annuus (common sunflower)
Lineage: Eukaryota; Viridiplantae; Streptophyta; Magnoliopsida; Asterales; Asteraceae
Description: sRNA HanXRQr2_Chr01g0042381
Source: RNAcentral
UGAAUCUAUUGAGAGAGAGGCCGAAAGUUUCUUAUUGUUCUUGAAUGAAUUGGUAAAAACAAAUGAUACAUAUUCGGUUCUAUAUAUACAUCAGAGAAUGAUUAAUAACUACCCCUAACUUAGGCUAAUAAUAAUAAUAAUAAUAGUAACAGCAUAACCUAUGAUAUAUAUCUAACAUGGCCUUAUAAUAAUAAUACGAUCUAGCUUAAUAUGAAAUUCCGUCUAAUAGUUUUCAUCCCUGAAUUUUGGCCAGUUUUGCGACUUUCGUCCAAAGGUUUGUUUUUCUGCAUCUGA